Ailuropoda melanoleuca (giant panda) is the source of this 340-nucleotide long non-coding RNA. RefSeq lists it as uncharacterized. The transcript has 3 exons. The record is from RefSeq and is a predicted model, not a curated record. NCBI's taxonomy places the organism in Eukaryota, Metazoa, Chordata, Mammalia, Carnivora, Ursidae.
UGCGGAUGUCCUCCCUGUCUCAAGUUCUCUCUUGGGACCUACAGACACAGGUGACCUGGGCACUGUCCCGGCCUCAAGGAGCUCCAGGCUCACAGGUUCUUGAACCAAAAUGGAAUGAAGCCCUUGAACUUGAUUUCUUCUCGUCGUUCCUGCUACACUGCUGCAACGGAAGGAACAGGGAAAUUCUGCACCAUUUCUGAAAGCCGCCAAGAGAUCUCAGCCAUUCCUCUGAAACCUCUGAGAGUUUUAACAAAAUUGGAAGUGGAGAGUGCUGGUAGAGCUGAAGCUAAUUUAAAUUUAUGAACCCUGAUGGCUCAUUGCCCUUUGUCACUUUCGGGAA